CCCCGUGGCGGGCGUGCUAUACAUGCAGUCGAGCGGACAGAAGGGAGCUUGCUCCCGGAUGUUAGCGGCGGACGGGUGAGUAACACGUGGGUAACCUGCCUGUAAGACUGGGAUAACUCCGGGAAACCGGAGCUAAUACCGGAUAGUUCCUUGAACCGCAUGGUUCAAGGAUGAAAGACGGUUUCGGCUGUCACUUGCAGAUGGACCCGCGGCGCAUUAGCUAGUUGGUGAGGUAACGGCUCACCAAGGCGACGAUGCGUAGCCGACCUGAGAGGGUGAUCGGCCACACUGGGACUGAGACACGGCCCAGACUCCUACGGGAGGCAGCAGUAGGGAAUCUUCCGCAAUGGACGAAAGUCUGACGGAGCAACGCCGCGUGAGUGAUGAAGGUUUUCGGAUCGUAAAGCUCUGUUGUUAGGGAAGAACAAGUGCAAGAGUAACUGCUUGCACCUUGACGGUACCUAACCAGAAAGCCACGGCUAACUACGUGCCAGCAGCCGCGGUAAUACGUAGGUGGCAAGCGUUGUCCGGAAUUAUUGGGCGUAAAGGGCUCGCAGGCGGUUUCUUAAGUCUGAUGUGAAAGCCCCCGGCUCAACCGGGGAGGGUCAUUGGAAACUGGGAAACUUGAGUGCAGAAGAGGAGAGUGGAAAUUCCACGUGUAGCGGUGAAAUGCGUAGAGAUGUGGGAGGGAACACCAGGUGGGCGAAAGCGACUCUCUGGGUCUGUAACUGACGCUGAGAGCGAAAGCGUGGGGAGCGAAACAGGAUUAGAUACCCUGGUAGUCCACGCCGUAACGAUGAGUGCUAAGUGUUAGGGGGUUUCCGCCCCUUUAGUGCUGCAGCUAACGCAUUAAGGCACUCCGCCCUGGGGGAGUACGUUCGGCAGGACUGGAAACUUCAAAUGAAUGACGGGGCCGGCCACAAGCGUUGAGCAUGUGAUUACUUCGAGCCACGCGAGAUCAUAACAGUCCUGACAGUCAUCUGACAUCCUUAAAGAAUCGCUUACAUCAGGACUGAGUGACACGUGGUGCCAUGGUAUGUCCGUCA
RNAcentral lists this ribosomal RNA (1046 nucleotides) under Bacillus sp. (in: firmicutes). RNAcentral describes it as "bacterial SSU rRNA". It matches the Rfam family "Bacterial small subunit ribosomal RNA", at positions 34 to 1204 of the family's 1533-position model. The record is from RNAcentral. Lineage: Bacteria; Bacillati; Bacillota; Bacilli; Caryophanales; Bacillaceae.